RNAcentral lists this unclassified non-coding RNA (390 nucleotides) under soil metagenome. RNAcentral describes it as "partial contains 5.8S ribosomal RNA, internal transcribed spacer 2, and large subunit ribosomal RNA". The stretch from base 1 to 121 matches the Rfam family "5.8S ribosomal RNA", at positions 35 to 154 of the family's 154-position model. The record is from RNAcentral.
GAUGAAGAACGCAGCGAAAUGCGAUACUUGGUGUGAAUUGCAGAAUCCCGUGAACCAUCGAGUCUUGAACGCAAGUUGCGCCCGAAGCCAUUAGGCCGAGGGCACGCCUGCCUGGGCGUCACACGUCGUUGCCCCCCCAUCUACUCCUUCGGGAUUGCGGGGGGCGGAUGAUGGCCUCUCGUGCGCCUCGUCGCGCGGUUGGCCUAAAUGCCAAGUCCUCGGCGACGCACGCCACGACAAUCGGUGGUUGCGAAACCUCGGUUGCCUGUCGUGUGCGGUCGUCGCGCAUCGAGGGCUCGAAAAAAUUGCCGGGCUUCGGCUCGACUUUCAACGCGACCCCAGGUCAGGCGGGGUUACCCGCUGAAUUUAAGCAUAUCAAUAAGCGGAGGA